This 438-nucleotide ribosomal RNA is filed under the name Escherichia coli. RNAcentral's name for it is "bacterial SSU rRNA". It matches the Rfam family "Bacterial small subunit ribosomal RNA", at positions 860 to 1298 of the family's 1533-position model. The record is from RNAcentral. Lineage: Bacteria; Pseudomonadati; Pseudomonadota; Gammaproteobacteria; Enterobacterales; Enterobacteriaceae. RNAcentral also lists the same sequence under 1 other name.
UUAAGUCGACCGCCUGGGGAGUACGGCCGCAAGGUUAAAACUCAAAUGAAUUGACGGGGGCCCGCACAAGCGGUGGAGCAUGUGGUUUAAUUCGAUGCAACGCGAAGAACCUUACCUGGUCUUGACAUCCACGGAAGUUUUCAGAGAUGAGAAUGUGCCUUCGGGAACCGUGAGACAGGUGCUGCAUGGCUGUCGUCAGCUCGUGUUGUGAAAUGUUGGGUUAAGUCCCGCAACGAGCGCAACCCUUAUCCUUUGUUGCCAGCGGUCCGGCCGGGAACUCAAAGGAGACUGCCAGUGAUAAACUGGAGGAAGGUGGGGAUGACGUCAAGUCAUCAUGGCCCUUACGACCAGGGCUACACACGUGCUACAAUGGCGCAUACAAAGAGAAGCGACCUCGCGAGAGCAAGCGGACCUCAUAAAGUGCGUCGUAGUCCGGAU